GCUGAGCAUGGUGGUGUGCGCCUGUAGUCCCAGCUACUUAGGGACUAAGUAGGGGACUGAAGCAGGGGGAUUGCUUGAGCCCAGGAGUUCUGGGCUAUAGUGCACCAUGCCUACCUGGUGUCUGUACUAAGUUCAGCAUCAAUAUGGUAACCUCUGGGACUACCACGUUGCUUAACGAGGGGUGAACUGGCACAGAGUAGAAGUGGAGCAGGUCAAAACUCCUGUGCUGAUCAGCCCUGGGAUCACACCUGUGAACAGCCACUGCACUACAGCCUGGGCAAAAUAGUGAGACCCCCAUCUC
This is a non-coding RNA of Pan troglodytes (chimpanzee), 301 nucleotides long. NCBI's taxonomy places the organism in Eukaryota, Metazoa, Chordata, Mammalia, Primates, Hominidae. The record is from Rfam.